This 92-nucleotide small RNA is filed under the name Tenacibaculum mesophilum. RNAcentral's name for it is "Flavo-1 RNA". It matches the Rfam family "Flavo-1 RNA". The record is from RNAcentral. Lineage: Bacteria; Pseudomonadati; Bacteroidota; Flavobacteriia; Flavobacteriales; Flavobacteriaceae.
AAUUAUUCGCGUUAGGGAUUGAAGCGGUAUCCUUUUACUUAGCCUGCCCUUAACAGACUAAGCAAAAGAUACAGCGGAAAGCCCGACAGUUU